Molecule: ribosomal RNA, 774 nt
Filed under: uncultured Neocallimastigales
Lineage: Eukaryota; Fungi; Neocallimastigomycota; Neocallimastigomycetes; Neocallimastigales
Description: partial large subunit ribosomal RNA
Rfam family: Eukaryotic large subunit ribosomal RNA
Source: RNAcentral
CGCAUCUGUGCAUGCAGCAUAUCAAUAAGCGGAGGAAAAGAAACUAACAAGGAUUCCCUUAGUAACGGCGAGUGAAGCGGGAAGAGCUCAAAUUUGAAAUCUUCAAGGUUUUACCUUGACGAAUUGUAGUUUAAAGAAGUGUUUUCUGUUGAAGUUUUGGUAAAAGUUCUUUGGAAUAGGACAUCAUAGAGGGUGGGAAUCCCGUAUUUGACCAUUAUUUUCAGCUGUGUGAUACACUUUCAAAGAGUCGGAUUGUUUGGGAAUGCAGUCCAAAAUGGGUGGUAAAUUUCAUCUAAAGCUAAAUAUUGGCGAGAGACCGAUAGCGAACAAGUACCGUGAGGGAAAGAUGAAAAGAACUUUGAAAAGAGAGUUAAACAGUACGUGAAAUUGUCAAAAGGGAAGCGUUUGACACCAGUGUUGUUUUCUCGAAAAUCAAUUAAAAAGAGUUUGAUUUUGUUGUGUAUUGACCUUAACAGCUUGCAUUUCAAUUUUCUUGCUUUUUUUAAUGCACUUUUCGUUUAACAAGUCAACAUCAGUUUCUUUUGUUGUAAAAAGGUCAUUGGAAGGUGGCUUUCUUUUCGGAGAAAGUGUUUAUAGCCUUUGACUCCUGCAAUCGGAGAGACUGAGGUCUGCAGCGUAGAUCCUUCGGGGUUAGAUACAUUUGUGCUAAGUCAUAGCUUUUUAUAGACAACUUGUUGACUAUGAUUAGUCUUGUAGCUUACUCGCUUAUGCUAUUUUACCUACGCUUAGGAUGUUGACGCGCGUGUGUGCGUG